RNAcentral lists this ribosomal RNA (497 nucleotides) under uncultured bacterium. RNAcentral describes it as "partial 16S ribosomal RNA". It matches the Rfam family "Bacterial small subunit ribosomal RNA", at positions 28 to 507 of the family's 1533-position model. The record is from RNAcentral.
GAUGAACGCUGGCGGCGUGCCUAAUACAUGCAAGUCGAGCGAACGGACGAUAAUCUUGCUUCUCUGAUGUUAGCGGCGGACGUGUGAGUAACACGUGGAUAACCUACCUAUAAUACUGGUAUAACUACGGAAAACCGGAUCUAAUACGAUAUAAUCUUUUGAACCGCAUGGUUCAAAAGUGAAAUACGGUCUUGCUGUCACUUAUAGAUGGAUCCGCGCUGCAUUAGCUAGUUGUUACGUUAACGGCUUACCAAGGCAACGAGGCAUAGCCGACCUGAGAGGGUGAUAGGCCACACUGGAACUGAGCCACGGUCCAGAGGCCUACGGGAGGCAGCAGUAGGGAAUCUUACGCAAAGGGCGAAAACCUGCCGGAGCAACGCCAAGUGAGAGAUGACGGUCUUCGGAUCGUAAAGCCCUGUUAUGAGGUAAGAACAUAUGUGUAAGUAAAUGUAGAGAUAUUGACGGUACCUACUCAGAAAGCAACGGCUAACUACGUG